GCGGACGGCUCAGUAACACGUGGCUAACCUACCCUCGGGUGGGGGAUAACCUCGGGAAACUGAGGAUAAUACCCCAUAGGAGAAGAGGUCUGGAAUGAUCCUUCUCUGAAAACAUAUGUGCCCGAGGAUGGGGCUGCGUCUGAUUAGGUAGUUGGUGGGGUAACGGCCCACCAAGCCUACGAUCAGUACGGGCCUUGAGAGAGGCAGCCCGGAGAUGGGGACUGAGACACGGCCCCAGGCCCUACGGGGCGCAGCAGGCGCGAAACCUCUGCAAUGCACGAAAGUGCGACGGGGGGACCCCAAGUGCUUACGCACUGCGUAGGCUUUUCUAAAGUGUAAAAAGCUUUAGGAAUAAGGGCUGGGCAAGUCCGGUGCCAGCAGCCGCGGUAACACCGGCGGCCCGAGUGGUGACCACUUUUAUUGGGCCUAAAGCGUCCGUAGCCGGUCCAGUAAGUCCCUGUUUAAAUCCUACGGCUUAACCGUAGGGCUGGCAGGGAUACUGCUGGACUUGGGACCGGGAGAGGGCGAGGGUACUUCAGGGGUAGCGGUGAAAUGUGUUGAUCCCUGGAGGACCACCUAUGGCGAAGGCACUCGCCUGGA
Molecule: ribosomal RNA, 600 nt
Filed under: uncultured archaeon
Lineage: Archaea
Description: bacterial SSU rRNA
Rfam family: Archaeal small subunit ribosomal RNA
Source: RNAcentral